RNAcentral lists this transfer RNA (78 nucleotides) under Caudoviricetes sp. RNAcentral's name for it is "tRNA-Thr". It matches the Rfam family "tRNA". From Rfam's summary of the family: Transfer RNA (tRNA) molecules are approximately 80 nucleotides in length. Their secondary structure includes four short double-helical elements and three loops (D, anti-codon, and T loops). Lineage: Duplodnaviria; Heunggongvirae; Uroviricota; Caudoviricetes. The record is from RNAcentral.
GCUGGUAUAGCUCAGUCGGUAGAGCAGCUGAUUCGUAAUCAGCAGGUCGAAGCAGGCCCAAAAGCCCGCAAACCCGCA